GUGGAGCAUGUGGUUUAAUUCGAUGAUACGCGAGGAACCUUACCUGGGCUUGAAAGUUAGUGACCGCUCCUGAAAGGGAGCUUUCCGCAAGGACACGAAACUAGGUGCUGCAUGGCUGUCGUCAGCUCGUGCCGUGAGGUGUCGGAUUAAGUUCCAUAACGAGCGCAACCCCUAUUUCUAGUUGCCAGCGAGUAAUGUCGGGGACUCUAGAGAAACUGCCCGCGUAAGCGGUGAGGAAGGUGGGGACGACGUCAAGUCAUCACGGCCCUUACGUCCAGGGCGACACACGUGCUACAAUGGUAGGGACAGUGAGUUGCAAGCCGGUAACGGUGAGCUAAUCUACAAACCCUAUCUCAGUUCGGAUCGAGGUCUGCAACCCGACCUCGUGAAGCUGGAAUCGCUAGUAAUCGCAUAUCAGCCAUGAUGCGGUGAAUACGUUCCCGGGCCUUGUACACACCGCCCGUCAAGCCAUGGAAGUUGGGGGUGCCUAAAGUCGUACCGUAAGA
RNAcentral lists this ribosomal RNA (506 nucleotides) under uncultured Bacteroidota bacterium. RNAcentral describes it as "bacterial SSU rRNA". It matches the Rfam family "Bacterial small subunit ribosomal RNA", at positions 932 to 1440 of the family's 1533-position model. The record is from RNAcentral. Lineage: Bacteria; Pseudomonadati; Bacteroidota.